CACGGGGGGAGCAAGCGUUGUUCGGAAUCACUGGGCGUAAAGGGCGUGUAGGCGGGAAGGAAAGUCAGAUGUGAAAUCCCCAGGCUCAACCUGGGAACUGCAUUUGAAACUCCCUUUCUUGAGUACCGGAGAGGAAAGUGGAAUUCCUGGUGUAGAGGUGAAAUUCGUAGAUAUCAGGAGGAACACCAGUGGCGAAGGCGGCUUUCUGGACGGUAACUGACGCUGAGACGCGAAAGCGUGGGGAGCAAACAGG
Molecule: ribosomal RNA, 253 nt
Filed under: uncultured bacterium
Lineage: Bacteria
Description: partial 16S ribosomal RNA
Rfam family: Bacterial small subunit ribosomal RNA
Source: RNAcentral